CGUCACCCGGCCCCGCGCCCGAGCUGCCCCAUCGUCUCUUCAGAGGGGGGAGGUUGGAAUACUAGAAAUGGGUAGAAAACACCCUCUACAACCCUAAACGCAACUUAAGGCUAGGCUCACAAGUCCUGUCUCGCUUCUCCAUUUUUCUGUCCGGCGGCGCUUCUCCACUUAUCUGUCUGGCAGCGCUCCUCCACUCACCCGGUCCUCAGCUUUCAGACACCCAUCACGUGCUUGUAGUGCCCUGUGACGGUACUUCAGCGGGAGGAGGGCGGAGUUUUCUGGACGCCGACGUCCCUGAGGAUCAGAAUUGACAUAGUGAGGAGCCGUCUGGGCAUCAACUUCUGCAGAGAGAAGAUUUAGCUGGACCUGGUGGUAUGUACCAGCUGAAUUAUAUAAAGAAAGACUAUAGAGAAGAUGUCACCUGUAUUCACAGCUAUGCAGUUAUGAUGUGUGAAACUACAACUUCCAGCAGAACCUUAUUACUGCUUAGGUCAUACUGGGAGCUGUAGUU
Hyla sarda is the source of this 511-nucleotide long non-coding RNA. RefSeq lists it as uncharacterized. The transcript is spliced from 3 exons. NCBI's taxonomy places the organism in Eukaryota, Metazoa, Chordata, Amphibia, Anura, Hylidae. The record is from RefSeq and is a predicted model, not a curated record.